UCCAAGCGAGUGAGUCUCAAGUCCCUCCUCAUGCGUUCAUCAUUCUCUUCUCAUCACCAUAUCUAACCAUUUCUGACAUGAAAAUACUCGUUCCUUUCACUCGCUCGAUUUGGAGAUAAGGCACGCGAUUGGAAGCUUCUGAGAAUGAUUUGCUGGAUGAGUGUGAUGUGUUAGAUUGAUUUUAUUCAAUCCAAGCCCCACAUUCAUCAGGAAUUCAUUCUCAAAAAGGGAUUUUUGAUGGAUUUCGGGGAGUCAGUUUUUUUUAGAGGGAUUUUUGGACAGAGGAUUUUGGAGAGAUAGUCUUCUUCUUAUCGUUUGCAUUCAUUCUUAGUUGAACUGGAGAAAAAGAAAAAUAUGGAAAAAUGUUCAAUAUUCAGUGAUUUUAGGGUUGUUUGGUUUAUUGUUUACAAGCUUCAAAACAUGAGGAUUCCGCCUUUUCUUUCAGUCUGGAUUUUAUAAAAAUAGAGUUCUAUUGAGAGACAGGUGAACUCGUUAUUGCUCGAGGCGUCGAUACAUAGCUGUUGCUGCUCUAUGGUGAUUUCAGUAUUGAGACUAGUUUGAUUUUCGUCCCCGGUUCAAUUCUGCUCUUCCUCUUAUUUUGUUGUGAAGGGAGCCAUGUGUGGACUGUAAAACGAUUUCAGUUAAAACAAUAGAUGAGGUUGUGUGGUUAUCUGCGAUUUCAUUUACUAUUCUACUCUAAUUUGUGAUUGUCAAAUGAAUCUGACUCAGUAGUGUAUAUACUCAUGGUUUUCCACUUGGUUAUCUAAUUCUCUAGUAUGAAUGAUUUCCGGUAAUCGUUCUGUUCUCUUUUCUUGAACAAGCAUAGCAGUUUGUGCUUGGAUUUUGUUGUUACUAAAGCAUGAAC
RNAcentral lists this long non-coding RNA (865 nucleotides) under Nicotiana benthamiana. Its description in RNAcentral is "long non-coding RNA (NBEN_LNC011459)". The stretch from base 148 to 218 matches the Rfam family "MIR6151 microRNA precursor family". The record is from RNAcentral. Lineage: Eukaryota; Viridiplantae; Streptophyta; Magnoliopsida; Solanales; Solanaceae.